UACAGAGGCCUCGAGCGUUAGGCGGAAUCACUGGGCUUAAAGCGUGUGUAGGUGGAUUUGUAAGUACCUUGUGAAAUCCCAUGGCUCAACCAUGGAACUGCUCGGUAUACUGCGAAUCUUGAGCCACUUAGGGGCUACCGGAACAAAUGGUGGAGCGGUGAAAUGCGUAGAUAUCAUUUGGAACGCCAAUGGUGAAAACAGGUAGCUGGGAGUGUGCUGACACUGAGACACGAAAGCCAGGGGAGCGAACGGG
This 253-nucleotide ribosomal RNA is filed under the name uncultured bacterium. RNAcentral's name for it is "partial 16S ribosomal RNA". It matches the Rfam family "Bacterial small subunit ribosomal RNA", at positions 524 to 776 of the family's 1533-position model. The record is from RNAcentral.